CCGCCCCACCCCGAGCCUGGGGGGACCGGCACCUGCACCAGGAGGAUGAGGCGGCUCCGGAGGGAGGGAGCGGGCUUAGCCCUUCUUGGUCAAGACGCUGCUGAUAUUCUUUACUCAAAACCAAACCCGUAUCUACAAAAGAGAAACAGACCCAAUCACAGAGAACAGACUUGUGGUGGCCAAGGGGGUGGGGGCACUGGACGGGGAGUUUGGGGUUCGUAGAUGCAAACUCUUAGGGUUAGGGCCGAUAAGCAAUGCGGUCCUACCCUACAGCCCAGAGAACUCUAUCCGAUCUCUUGGGAUAGAACAUGAUGGGAGGUAGUAUGAGAAAAAUGUGUGUGUGUGUGUGUGUGUAUGUAUGACUGUGUCACUUUGCUGGAAAAAAUUGUAAAUCAACUAAACUUUAAAAAUGCCUUUAUUUUUCAUCUAGAUGCGAAAGUGGUACAUACACUUCAUCGGGGAAAAUGUAGAGGGUGCAGGGAGCACAAAUCACAAGGAAAAUAAAAACCACCUGCGACCCCAACAGCCCACGAUGGCAGUUGGCCGCGUUUCAGUCGCUUUCCAGCUCCCUUGCUCUGAUGACAAACACUGCGGGGUCGUUUGGAGCAUUCGCUAGCAUUUUUCCUGGCAUUUGAAUGGUCUGUUUCUUCCCCGCAAUGAUUAAAUAGCACCCCACCAUCUGGCUGCUCCACCGCUGAUUUAACCCGCCCACUCUGAUCAAAUUUUGGGGUCGUUCCAUUUUGUUUUUAAUUUUUAAAUAACGAAAUAUUCUCCAGACUCAGAAUAAUGAGUAACUUUUGCAUAAUGAGUGGUGGAUGCUGGCUAGAUGCUCAGGAGCUGGGGCGGGGCAGGGAUGAGGACACAGGGGCCCCUGUCACCCUGCACCCCCGCCCGGGCACGACUAGGGAUGGCACACUGAGUGCUCACUUUUAUCUGUCUCUCCCAAAUUUCACUGAACGCCGAGAAGUCCACACGCGCUCUCAUGGCAAAAACAAAAGUGCAAGAAGAGUAAUGGUGAGUCACUUCCGGGAUAGGCGGGGGCAGGUGGGAUUGAGUGAGGAAGAAAAGAGAUCUGAGAAGAUAGAAGCUGCAGAGCUGCGGAGAAGGGGGCUGGGCUGGGAGGGGAGCUGCUGGAGGAACCAGAGCCCUGCAGGUUAUAGGAUCUUGGCUGAAGGGACCAGAGAAGGAUAUGGAAGGUGUGUGACAAUCCUAGCUCCAGGUGCAGUUUACAAGCCCCUCUGGGCACCCCGGGACUCCCAGCCAGGCCUCUGCACAUGGCGGUAUGGAGAGCCGAAUAUCACCCAAGAAGCAGUCCUGCCAAAAGUGUCCAACCCGGAUCUCACAGCAUCUGAAGCAGUGUUUCAACAGAAAUAUUUAUGAUGAUGGAAAUAUUUGCACUGCCCAGGACAGCAGCCACUGGCUAAAUGCGGAUAUUGGGCACUUGAAAUGAGGCUGGGGAGCUGGAUUUUAAAAUCUAAGAUAAUCUUCAUGAAACUCAUUCGAUGUCAAAUACUCAUCUGUGGCUAGGGGCGACCAUGCCGGCCAGCGUAGCUCCAGGGUCCAAACCUAACCUCCGAGGCACAGGACGUGGGAGGCGGCAGGACAAGUUUCCAUGGGGAAAAGGGUCAGACAAAUCCCGAGGGGAGUGUUACAGGACGACAGCCCUGGGGUGCUCAAAACUCAGUGUCCUUAAAACCAAAACAAAAAAGCAGGAGAAGUGAGGGGCUGUCCUAGGUUAGACGAGGUGAACCAAACAAAGCAGGAAGCUGGAUGGGAUCCCGAUUGAAAAUAACAACGGUACAGACGCAGAGCCUUCCUGGGUCAGCGGAGGGCGCCAGACGUGCCUGGAUGCAGCGGAACAGCACAGGGCCACCGUUAGAUUUCUCAGGGGUUUCACCGGGGUUGUGAUAUUGGGACAUGUCCUUAUUUCCAGAGGGCGCAAGAUGAAGUGUGCAACAAGGGUCUGAGGCCUGCAUUGUUGUAAUGAUGCGGGUGUGUGGGCUGGGGAGGGGGAGAGAGGGAGCUAAAGCAGAUUCGGCAAAAUGUUUUUAAAACAGCCCUGUCAUGCAGGAUACUUCUUCCCAGAAAGUAGAGAACGUACUUCAUGAACGGAGCGACUUAGAAGAGGUUUCUAGGCAAGCUGCCAUCUGGCUGCUUCCUGCUCUUUACCAUGAAAUGUGUGAUGGGAGAGAAGCUAGAGAGGCUUUAAGCACAGAGGAGUCAGGACUGGCUGGUUGAGGAAACUCUCAGAGGCCCCCCCGCCCCCCGAGACGGCCGAUGAUGCUAAAGUGAAGAAAUGGCUUCCAGGCGAAGUUAAAACCCAGGGACGGUCAGCAAAAUAUGGUACAAAGAUGAAGGCAAGAGUGUAGCUGUGAAAUCUUUCAUGAAAAGUUUUGUUAAGGAGUUCCUGUCAUGGCUCAGCAGUCACGAACCCAACUAGCAUCCAUGGGGAUUGAGGUUUGAUCCCUGGCCUCACUUGAUGGGUUAAGGAUCCAGCAUUGCCCUGAGCUGUGGUGCAGGUCACAGAUGCAGCUUGGAUCCCAUGUUGCGGUGGCUGUGGUGUAGGCUGGCAGCUGCAGCUCAGAUUCAACCCCUAGCCUGGGAACUUCCAUAUGCCACGUGUGGACCUUAAAAAAAAAAAAAGAGUUUUGCGAAGAGAAGACUCCAGGGUGAGCCUCAGACAACCCUUCAGAUAAAGAAGUUUCUUAGAAGGGUUUUGCCUCUCCGUAGCCCAGAAAAAACUGAUGUUGCUGUGAG
Molecule: long non-coding RNA, 2757 nt
Filed under: Sus scrofa (pig)
Lineage: Eukaryota; Metazoa; Chordata; Mammalia; Artiodactyla; Suidae
Description: lncRNA (ENSSSCG00005034769.1)
Source: RNAcentral